GACGAACGCUGGCGGCGUGCUUAACACAUGCAAGUCGAACGGUGAAGCGCCUUCCUUUUUGGUGGGUGUGGAUGAGUGGCGAACGGGUGAGUAACACGUGAGUAACCUGCCCCCUUCUUCUGGAUAACCGCAUGAAAGUGUGGCUAAUACGGGAUAUUCUGGGUCUGUCGCAUGAUGGGUCUGGGAAAGAUAUUGUUUCGGUGGGGGUUGGGCUCGCGGCCUAUCAGCUUGUUGGUGGGGUGAUGGCCUACCAAGGCGGUGACGGGUAGCCGGCCUGAGAGGGUGGGCGGUCACACUGGGACGGAGACACGGCCCAGACUCCUACGGGAGGCAGCAGUGGGGAAUAUUGCACAAUGGGCGCAAGCCUGAUGCAGCGACGCCGCGUGAGGGAUGGAGGCCUUCGGGUUGUGAACCUCUUUCGCCAGUGAAGCAGGCCUGCCUCGUUUGUGGGUGGGUUGACGGUAGCUGGAUAAGAAGCGCCGGCUAACUACGUG
Molecule: ribosomal RNA, 494 nt
Filed under: uncultured bacterium
Lineage: Bacteria
Description: partial 16S ribosomal RNA
Rfam family: Bacterial small subunit ribosomal RNA
Source: RNAcentral